GAUGAAGAACGUAGCGAAAUGCGAUAAGUAGUGUGAAUUGCAGAAGUACCGUGAAUCAUCGAAUCUUUGAACGCAAAUUGCACUCUCUGGUAUUCCGGGGAGUAUGCCUGUUUGAGGGUCGCUUAACAAACCAUCGAUUUCGUUGCUUUUUUUUUAAAAAGUGAUGUUUAUCGGAUUUGAGCCGUCUUUUUUUUUAUAUUUAAGUGGCUUAAAAUUGAUUUUUUUGGUACGAUCGAAGCGUAUUUUUAUGAUCAAUUUUUGGUUAAAGAAACGCACACGUACCGUUAUUUAUAUGAUGUAAUACGUUUGACUAUUGGAUUUAGUUCAUUCGUAUACGAUAUUUUUCAAUAUUUGACCUCAAAUCAGGUAAGAACACCCGCUGAACUUAAGCAUAUCAAUAAGCGGAGGA
RNAcentral lists this unclassified non-coding RNA (409 nucleotides) under soil metagenome. RNAcentral describes it as "partial contains 5.8S ribosomal RNA, internal transcribed spacer 2, and large subunit ribosomal RNA". The stretch from base 1 to 121 matches the Rfam family "5.8S ribosomal RNA", at positions 35 to 154 of the family's 154-position model. The record is from RNAcentral.